UGGGGAAUUUUGGACAAUGGGCGAAAGCCUGAUCCAGCAAUGCCGCGUGUGUGAAGAAGGCCUUCGGGUUGUAAAGCACUUUUGUCCGGAAAGAAAUCCUUGGCUCUAAUACAGUCGGGGGAUGACGGUACCGGAAGAAUAAGCACCGGCUAACUACGUGCCAGCAGCCGCGGUAAUACGUAGGGUGCAAGCGUUAAUCGGAAUUACUGGGCGUAAGCGUGCGCAGGCGGUUUGCUAAGACCGAUGUGAAAUCCCCGGGCUCAACCUGGGAACUGCAUUGGUGACUGGCAGGCUAGAGUAUGGCAGAGGGGGGUAGAAUUCCACGUGUAGCAGUGAAAUGCGUAGAGAUGUGGAGGAAUACCGAUGGCGAAGGCAGCCCCCUGGGCCAAUACUGACGCUCAUGCACGAAAGCGUGGGGAGCAAACAGGAUUAGAUACCCUGGUAGUCCACGCCCUAAACGAUGUCAACUAGUUGUUGGGGAUUCAUUUCCUUAGUAACGUAGCUAACGCGUGAAGUUGACCGCC
Molecule: ribosomal RNA, 524 nt
Filed under: uncultured bacterium
Lineage: Bacteria
Description: partial 16S ribosomal RNA
Rfam family: Bacterial small subunit ribosomal RNA
Source: RNAcentral